This 194-nucleotide ribosomal RNA is filed under the name Xiphias gladius (swordfish). RNAcentral's name for it is "partial large subunit ribosomal RNA". The record is from RNAcentral. Lineage: Eukaryota; Metazoa; Chordata; Actinopteri; Istiophoriformes; Xiphiidae.
AUGAAGACCUGUAUGAAUGGCAUAACGAGGGCUUAGCUGUCUCCUCUUUCCAGUCAAUGAAAUUGAUCUCCCCGUGCAGAAGCGGGGAUAUAACCAUAAGACGAGAAGACCCUAUGGAGCUUUAGACGUCAAAGCAGAUCAUGUUAAACACCCCCAAAUAAGGGACCAAACUAAAUGACCCCUGCUUUAAUGUC